RNAcentral lists this ribosomal RNA (910 nucleotides) under uncultured bacterium. Its description in RNAcentral is "bacterial SSU rRNA". It matches the Rfam family "Bacterial small subunit ribosomal RNA", at positions 33 to 927 of the family's 1533-position model. The record is from RNAcentral.
ACGCUGGCGGCGUGCCUAAUACAUGCAAGUAGAACGCUGAAGGAGGAGCUUGCUUCUCCGGAUGAGUUGCGAACGGGCGAGUAACGCGUAGGUAACCUGCCUGGUAGCGGGGGAUAACUAUUGGAAACGAUAGCUAAUACCGCAUAAGAGUAGAUGUUGCAUGACAUUUGCUUAAAAGGUGCAAUUGCAUCACUACCAGAUGGACCUGCGUUGUAUUAGCUAGUUGGUGGGGUAACGGCUCACCAAGGCGACGAUACAUAGCCGACCUGAGAGGGUGAUCGGCCACACUGGGACUGAGACACGGCCCAGACUCCUACGGGAGGCAGCAGUAGGGAAUCUUCGGCAAUGGACGGAAGUCUGACCGAGCAACGCCGCGUGAGUGAAGAAGGUUUUCGGAUCGUAAAGCUCUGUUGUAAGAGAAGAACGAGUGUGAGAGUGGAAAGUUCACACUGUGACGGUAUCUUACCAGAAAGGGACGGCUAACUACGUGCCAGCAGCCGCGGUAAUACGUAGGUCCCGAGCGUUGUCCGGAUUUAUUGGGCGUAAAGCGAGCGCAGGCGGUUAGAUAAGUCUGAAGUUAAAGGCUGUGGCUUAACCAUAGUACGCUUUGAAAACUGUUUAACUUGAGUGCAAGAGGGGAGAGUGGAAUUCCAUGUGUAGCGGUGAAAUGCGUAGAUAUAUGGAGGAACACCGGUGGCGAAAGCGGCUCUCUGGCUUGUAACUGACGCUGAGGCUCGAAAGCGCGGGGAGCAAACAGGAUUAGAUACCCUGGUAGUCCACGCCGUAAACGAUGAGUGCUAGGUGUUAGACCCUUUCCGGGGUUUAGUGCCGCAGCUAACGCAUUAAGCACUCCGCCUGGGGAGUACGACCGCAAGGUUGAAACUCAAAGGAAUUGACGGGGGCCCGCACA